AAAACAAAUUUCGCAAUAUUCCUAAAAUUCAAUGAAAAUUUUAAAAAAACAAGACGUUAAAAUCAUAUGCUAUCAACCAAAACACAAAAACAAGUCAUCGCCACAAAAAGAACGCAGAUUUAUGAGAAAUUAAGAAAUAUAAAUUAAAAAUCAGUUGAAAUUCCCCACAAAAUGACAAAGAAAUUGCAAUAUUUUAUUCUUGUCUCGACAUGCAAUUUUUCCAUUACCAAAUAUAAUUAACCUUAGUCCUGACCUAUACGAAACUGUUGUUUCAAGCUAGAACUGCAAACAAACGAGCCACACGACAUAAAUCGAAACGUCAAUGCAACCUCAUUCUCGAUGAAUCAUCAAUUUUACGACGGAGAGUCGGGGAAAUCAAGUACCCAAAUAACAAAAUACAAACCAGAAGCCCAGUUUGCAACUUAGGAUUGCUAUUUGACUAAGAAGCAUUUGCUAACUCGAAAAGGAGACAUCUUUCUUCUCUAUUUUGUUGAGGGGAUGAAGGGGUGAACAAAUCAGCUAAACCUUAGUAAUCAAAACACUAAGUGCACAAUUCCGUUUCAUUUCUGCAUUUUCUCAGCAAGCAAACAGGGAGGACAUGCAUAGAGCCAGUGAUUAUUGAGAAACACAUACCUUGAGGAAUAGAGAUUAAUAUGCAAGCAUAAUAAAGGGAAAAGCAGAUCAAGAACUUACCAUGUAAGAGACAAAAUCCAAUCUAGAAAUUUGAGAGAGAGAGAGAGAGAUGAAUAAUUUUAGAGGAAGCCUCAAAGUACAAGAGUUGAUGAAGAAGGGAACGAGAAACUUUGGGAAGGAGGAGUUGUUGUCACUUAGCAGAGCUGGGUUUUCACUGCUUUAUACUCUCUAUGUGUUGUUUGGCUGC
Molecule: unclassified non-coding RNA, 880 nt
Filed under: Hevea brasiliensis (rubber tree)
Lineage: Eukaryota; Viridiplantae; Streptophyta; Magnoliopsida; Malpighiales; Euphorbiaceae
Source: RNAcentral